This 551-nucleotide ribosomal RNA is filed under the name Salmonella enterica subsp. enterica serovar Oranienburg. Its description in RNAcentral is "bacterial LSU rRNA". It matches the Rfam family "Bacterial large subunit ribosomal RNA", at positions 1 to 582 of the family's 2925-position model. Lineage: Bacteria; Pseudomonadati; Pseudomonadota; Gammaproteobacteria; Enterobacterales; Enterobacteriaceae. RNAcentral also lists the same sequence under 8 other names. The record is from RNAcentral.
GGGUUGUGAGGUUAAGCGACUAAGCGUACACGGUGGAUGCCCUGGCAGUCAGAGGCGAUGAAGGGCGUGCUAAUCUGCGAUAAGCGCCGGUAAGGUGAUAUGAACCGUUAUAACCGGCGAUACCCGAAUGGGGAAACCCAGUGUGACUCGUCACACUAUCAUUAACUGAAUCCAUAGGUUAAUGAGGCGAACCGGGGGAACUGAAACAUCUAAGUACCCCGAGGAAAAGAAAUCAACCGAGAUUCCCCCAGUAGCGGCGAGCGAACGGGGAGGAGCCCAGAGCCUGAAUCAGCAUGUGUGUUAGUGGAAGCGUCUGGAAAGGCGCGCGAUACAGGGUGACAGCCCCGUACACAAAAGCGCAUGUGCUGUGAGCUCGAUGAGUAGGGCGGGACACGUGGUAUCCUGUCUGAAUAUGGGGGGACCAUCCUCCAAGGCUAAAUACUCCUGACUGACCGAUAGUGAACCAGUACCGUGAGGGAAAGGCGAAAAGAACCCCGGCGAGGGGAGUGAAAAAGAACCUGAAACCGUGUACGUACAAGCAGUGGGAGCAC